Parelaphostrongylus tenuis is the source of this 81-nucleotide non-coding RNA. NCBI's taxonomy places the organism in Eukaryota, Metazoa, Nematoda, Chromadorea, Rhabditida, Metastrongylidae. The record is from the annotation of a GenBank genome assembly.
GCCUCGAUGGUGUAGUGGUAUCACGCGCUCCUCGUAUGGAUGAAACGGAGGAUCGACGUCCGCCUAAAGUCGAGUAUUGCG